This 417-nucleotide ribosomal RNA is filed under the name Triticum aestivum (bread wheat). Its description in RNAcentral is "partial small subunit ribosomal RNA". The record is from RNAcentral. Lineage: Eukaryota; Viridiplantae; Streptophyta; Magnoliopsida; Poales; Poaceae.
AUGGGGGAGGCCGUCGCGGUGGUGGGGCUAGACUUUGCGGCCUGCAACGAGGCGGCCGUCGAUGCCGCGGUGGAGGCGGCGUGGUGCUGCUUUGGCCACGACAGGCUCAAUACCCUGGUUAACUGCUGCUCCUAUGAAGGGGAAGUGCAAGACUGCCUCAGUGUAACUGAAGAUGAGUACUCACACACCUUGGCUGCUAAUAAAGGCGAUGGCGAAGUGGUUCUGGGAUACGCAGUCCGGCGGUUCCAUGGUAUGCUUGAUCCAGAUCACCGGCGCCGAGAGAGGAUUCUACCCAAGGGUUGUGGCAUACUGCACGAGCUUAGGCGUUGUUCAUCAGCUCGUCAGAGUAAGCCUACCUUCCUGUUACAAAGAGGCAUGAAUGCUCACAGAAAUCCUGAAUGUCUACAUGUUCAUUGA